UUGUUGGUAAGGUAAAAGCUUACCAAGGCUUCGAUCAGUAGCUGGUCUGAGAGGACGACCAGCCACACUGGGACUGAGACACGGCCCAGACUCCUACGGGAGGCAGCAGUGGGGAAUUUUGGACAAUGGGGGCAACCCUGAUCCAGCCAUGCCGCGUGAGUGAAGAAGGCRUUCGUUGUAAAGCUCUUUCAGCCGGAACGAAACGGUUACGGAUAACACCCGUGACUACUGACGGUACCGGAAGAAGAAGCACCGGCUAACUACGUGCCAGCAGCCGCGGUAAUACGUAGGGUGCGAGCGUUAAUCGGAAUUACUGGGCGUAAAGCGUGCGCAGGUGGUUUUGUAAGUCAGAUGUGAAAGCCCCGGGCUCAACCUGGGAACUGCGUUUGAAACUACAAGACUAGAGUGUGGCGGAGGGGGGUGGAAUUCCGCGUGUAGCGGUGAAAUGCGUAGAGAUGUGGAGGAACACCGAUGGCGAAGGCAGCCCCCUGGGUCAACACUGACGCUCAGGCACGAAAGCAUGGGGAGCAAACAGGAUUAGAUACCCUGGUAGUCCAUGCCCUAAACGAUGUCAACUAGUUGUCGGGCCUUUACGGGCUUGGUAACGUAGCUAACGCGUGAAGUUGACCGCCUGGGGAGUACGAUCGCAAGAUUAAAACUCAAAUGAAUUGACGGGGACCCGCACAAGCGGUGGAUUAUGUGGAUUAAUUCGAUGCAACGCGAAAAACCUUACCUACCCUUGACAUGUAUCGAAGCCCGCAGAAAAGCGGGGGUGCCCGAAAGGGAACGAUAACACAGGUGCUGCAUGGCUGUCGUCAGCUCGUGUCGUGAGAUGUUGGGUUAAGUCCCGCAACGAGCGCAACCCUUGUCAUUAAUUGCCAUCAUUUAGUUGGGCACUUUAAUGAGACUGCCGG
Molecule: ribosomal RNA, 914 nt
Filed under: uncultured bacterium
Lineage: Bacteria
Description: bacterial SSU rRNA
Rfam family: Bacterial small subunit ribosomal RNA
Source: RNAcentral